This 86-nucleotide transfer RNA is filed under the name Candidatus Saccharimonadota bacterium. RNAcentral describes it as "tRNA-Leu". It matches the Rfam family "tRNA". Rfam says of the family: Transfer RNA (tRNA) molecules are approximately 80 nucleotides in length. Their secondary structure includes four short double-helical elements and three loops (D, anti-codon, and T loops). Lineage: Bacteria; Candidatus Saccharimonadota. The record is from RNAcentral.
GCCCGUGUGGUGGAAUUGGUAGACACGCUAGCCUUAGGAGCUAGUGCCGAUAAAGCAUGCUGGUUCGAGUCCAGUCGCGGGCACCA